Molecule: ribosomal RNA, 634 nt
Filed under: Actinomycetes bacterium
Lineage: Bacteria; Bacillati; Actinomycetota; Actinomycetes
Description: bacterial SSU rRNA
Rfam family: Bacterial small subunit ribosomal RNA
Source: RNAcentral
GCCUGAUGCAGCGACGCCGCGUGAGGGAUGACGGCCUUCGGGUUGUAAACCUCUUUCAGCAGGGAAGAAGCGCAAGUGACGGUACCUGCAGAAGAAGCGCCGGCUAACUACGUGCCAGCAGCCGCGGUAAUACGUAGGGCGCAAGCGUUGUCCGGAAUUAUUGGGCGUAAAGAGCUCGUAGGCGGUUUGUCGCGUCUGCUGUGAAAACCUGAGGCUCAACCUCGGGCUUGCAGUGGGUACGGGCAGACUAGAGUGCGGUAGGGGUGACUGGAAUUCCUGGUGUAGCGGUGGAAUGCGCAGAUAUCAGGAGGAACACCGAUGGCGAAGGCAGGUCACUGGGCCGCAACUGACGCUGAGGAGCGAAAGCAUGGGGAGCGAACAGGAUUAGAUACCCUGGUAGUCCAUGCCGUAAACGUUGGGCACUAGGUGUGGGGCUCAUUCCACAAGUUCCGUGCCGCAGCAAACGCAUUAAGUGCCCCGCCUGGGGAGUACGGCCGCAAGGCUAAAACUCAAAGAAAUUGACGGGGGCCCGCACAAGCGGCGGAGCAUGCGGAUUAAUUCGAUGCAACGCGAAGAACCUUACCAAGGCUUGACAUACACCGGAAAAGUGCAGAGAUGUGCUCCCCGUAAGGUC